GCACUAGUAGCUCAGCUUUCAGAGCGUCGGUCUUGUAAACCGGACGUCAGGGGUUAAAGUCCCCUCUACUGCU
This 73-nucleotide transfer RNA is filed under the name Parapristipoma trilineatum (chicken grunt). RNAcentral describes it as "tRNA-Thr". It matches the Rfam family "tRNA". From Rfam's summary of the family: Transfer RNA (tRNA) molecules are approximately 80 nucleotides in length. Their secondary structure includes four short double-helical elements and three loops (D, anti-codon, and T loops). Lineage: Eukaryota; Metazoa; Chordata; Actinopteri; Lutjaniformes; Haemulidae. The record is from RNAcentral.